Molecule: ribosomal RNA, 444 nt
Filed under: uncultured bacterium
Lineage: Bacteria
Description: bacterial SSU rRNA
Rfam family: Bacterial small subunit ribosomal RNA
Source: RNAcentral
CCUAACACAUGCAAGUCGAACGGUAACAGGAAACAGCUUACUGUUUCGCUGACGAGUGGCGGACGGGUGAGUAAUGUCUGGGAAACUGCCUGAUGGAGGGGGAUAACUACUGGAAACGGUAGCUAAUACCGCAUAACGUCGCAAGACCAAAGAGGGGGACCUUCGGGCCUCUUGCCAUCGGAUGUGCCCAGAUGGGAUUAGCUUGUUGGUGGGGUAACGGCUCACCAAGGCGACGAUUCCUAGCUGGUCUGAGAGGAUGACCAGCCACACUGGAACUGAGACACGGUCCAGACUCCUACGGGAGGCAGCAGUGGGGAAUAUUGCACAAUGGGCGCAAGCCUGAUGCAGCCAUGCCGCGUGUAUGAAGAAGGCCUUCGGGUUGUAAAGUACUUUCAGCGGGGAGGAAGGGAGUAAAGUUAAUACCUUUGCUCAUUGACGUUACCC